GCUAUGGUUUGGAUUUGAAAUGCUCCUUAAAACCCACGUGUAAAGGCUGAGUGAUGGUCUUUUGAAGAAGUGAUUGGAUCCUGAGGGCUCUAACUUCAUCAAGUGGAUUAACCCGUUGACAGGAUCACAAUUUGAUGGCAUUAUUGAGAGGCAAUGGAAACAGAAGGCGAGGCCUCGUUGAAGGGAGUAGUUCAUGCGGUAUCACCUUGGAAACUGUAUCUGCUCCCCAGCCCCUUCUCUGGCUCUUUCCCAUUCUCUUUCCUUCUCAGUUGCUGUGCUAUGAGCAGCUCUCCUCUACCACACCCUUCCAUCAUGAUGUUUCUGCCUCGCCUCAGGCCUAAAACAAUGGAGCAGCUGACCAUGGACUGAACCUCUAAAACCGUAGCAGCCACCUCUGAGGCAGCAUGCUUGGGACCCCCGUGUCCAGUGUUGAAGGGGCAACUCUUGCUGGGGAUCAAGCCGAGGGCCUUGCAUGUGCUAGCUGCCCAGGUAGGGAGGCGUGUUCACGUGAUGAAGGGGUCCCCAGGAAAUAGCUGUGUGCGCGCGAAGAACGCCCGCCGGUGUGUCUUCUCCACGCUUUCUUCUUCCUUCUGGAGGGAGGAACCAAGAGGUGGAAGCGAGUGCAGAAAGCACUUGGAAGGGAAGCCCUGUGGGAAGCCCUGAAGGACAGACAGACUCAAGGACUGGAAUCUUCAUUUGCAGGUGUGCUAGCGUCCUCACAGUUAAGGACAUCACAGCGAAAUGUGGUGAUCUGAAGAAAUGUGUCUUUGAUAGUGUGUGAUAUGUGUCAAGAGGUGAAAGAUCUGGCUGACUUAGUGAACCAUUGUUUUAGAAAUAAUCAGAGACUGUUACGAACUUUGCAUGGAUAAUAGAUGUAUCCAAAGAGGAUUUUAACCUAACCUGAGAACCAAAAGUCCCUUCACAAGGUUUCAGAUUCCACACUGCAAUUCACCUGUUACAAGUUUCCAGUAGUCGAGAUCCGGUAUAGUGUGAAAGAUGGAUUUCACAACUCUGAAAUGUGUGUAAAACCAGAUUUUCUUCACUUACUUCAACUGAAACAGUGUAUCAGAGACAGGAGAAGCCAGACAUGGGAGAUUAUUUUCCAAAAUGUAAACUGAUGCCACUUUUCUAUUUUCUUUUUGUUUUGGAAAGUAAUUUUCGUCGAAGUGAGCUAUGGUAACAAAUGUUAAUUUUUAUUUAAAACAAAUUUUGUCAUUUUUAAAUCAUCUCUUCACUCAGUAAAG
Molecule: long non-coding RNA, 1244 nt
Filed under: Heterocephalus glaber (naked mole-rat)
Lineage: Eukaryota; Metazoa; Chordata; Mammalia; Rodentia; Bathyergidae
Description: lncRNA (ENSHGLG00100050337.1)
Source: RNAcentral